RNAcentral lists this non-coding RNA (82 nucleotides) under Mixia osmundae IAM 14324. RNAcentral's name for it is "Archaeal large subunit ribosomal RNA". It matches the Rfam family "Bacterial large subunit ribosomal RNA", at positions 181 to 263 of the family's 2925-position model. Lineage: Eukaryota; Fungi; Basidiomycota; Mixiomycetes; Mixiales; Mixiaceae. The record is from Rfam by way of RNAcentral.
AACGAGCUGAACCAAAACAUUGUAGUAAGCUCAGGAAAACAAAUCAACCGAGAUUCUAAUAGUAGCGGCGAGCGAAAUUAGA